UUCCAAGUUCCAGCCCUCUCUCUGUGUCUUCGAACUGUAGACGGGCGACCUUAACAAGCCGGCGACGAGGAACGGCAGUGGCAGUUGCGGCGGCGAAGGCGAGGCAGCGGUGGCCGACUGAGGCGAGGCAGCGGUUGCAGGUUCUUCGUCUCUCUAUCUCUCUCUCUCUCGUCCAGCAGAUCGAAGGCGAGGGCGAGGCGUGGUGGCCGGCCAGUCGCGACGAGCAGACAGCGGUGGCCGGCGGAGGCGAGGCAGCGUUUGCAGGUUCUUCCUCUCUCUCUCUCUCUUUCUCGUCCAGCAGAUCGAAGGCGAGGGCGAGGCGUGGUGGCCGGCCAAUCGCGACGAGCAGACAGCGGUGGCCGGCGUUGUAGCGGAUCGACGGUGUCCCAGGCGGUGGUAGCUGCUGCGGCGUAGGCGACGAUGUCCCGGCGGUGGCAGCGGCAGUUUUGGGGACUAUGUUUCUGAUCAAGUUGUUGCACCUGUUCGAGAAACAUGUGCUCAAGCAUUAGGUGAUGUGCUUAAGUACAUGCAUCCUACUUUAGUGUACCAGACACUAAGUAUCUUGCUGCAAAUGCAGGAAAUGCUUCAUGAUUUGCUUUGCUAUGUUCUCCCAGCAUGUAAAAGUGGGGCUUGAGGAUGCUGACGAUGAUGUUCGAGCUGUGUCUGUAGAUGCUCUAAUACAAACUGCAGCUGAUGAUAUUGUUUCAUUAAAAAGUGAAAUAUUGCAUUCUAUUGUUAUGCUACUCUGGGACAUUUUACUUGACCUAGAUGAUUUGAGCCCAUCUACUAGCAGUUGUGUGUGUGCGUGUUUUUAAGCGACCCAUUUCUCAUUUAUAAAAAAAUUAAAACUGUCAUGAAUCUUCUUGUAUUAUUUAUUUUCAAUCUAAUCGCUCAGACCAAUAUUUAGCUUUA
This is a long non-coding RNA of Ipomoea triloba (trilobed morning glory), 912 nucleotides long. RefSeq lists it as uncharacterized. The transcript has 3 exons. The record is from RefSeq and is a predicted model, not a curated record. Lineage: Eukaryota; Viridiplantae; Streptophyta; Magnoliopsida; Solanales; Convolvulaceae.